Long non-coding RNA from Cornus florida, 847 nucleotides. RefSeq lists it as uncharacterized. The transcript has 4 exons. Lineage: Eukaryota; Viridiplantae; Streptophyta; Magnoliopsida; Cornales; Cornaceae. The record is from RefSeq and is a predicted model, not a curated record.
UUGUGUAUCGGUUGCUGCAGAUAUUGCUGUGGAUAACUGUGCAAUUUGUAGGAACCAUAUCAUGGAUCUCUGCAUUGAGUGCCAAGCUAAUCAAGCAAGUGCGAGUAGCGAGGAGUGCACUGUUGCUUGGGGUGGUGAGUUGUAUUGUGGAAGUCCAUGUGCUAAUGAAUUUAAAAUCCUAAGUUGACAUUGUUAUGUACCCCCCGUACGAAAAGUGAGAACUGGGUGGACCCAUCAACUUUUGUUUGGGGGGCCAAACUAGUUCUAUCUACUUUAAAAUUUAAAAGUUAGUUGUGAAAGUUUUUUUUAUUAGUAAUAUAUCUCUUGAUGUCUGUAUAUUAACAUGUGUAUUAAUAUAUUAUAAUGGGCUUUAUUUUUCUAUUAAGAUUUGGGCUUAUUCUUUCCAGUAUUACGUGGAUCACACACACACACAAACAUCUAUUCUUCUUUCCUCUCAAUUUUUGAGAAUCUAAGCAAAUCUUAUAAUGCAUAAUUUUUUUGCCCAUUCUAUAAAAGAAUAACAGGACAUGUAAGAUAUGCAUGAUAAAAACAACAAAUAGUUCAUUGUUAUUUACCUUAGGUAGAAAGUUUGUUCAUAAUUUUUUUACCCAUUCCAUAAAAGAAUAAUGAGUUUAUGCUCAUGAUAAAAACAACAAAUAGUUCAUUGUUAGAUCUUAUGUAUUGUCUAGCAUAAGGGUAAUUUUUUUCCCCUGGCUUCUAAGAUAAAUACAUUGGUUAUUUACCUUGGGUAGAAGGUUUGUUCAACUGGCAUUUAGUUAGCAACUGCAAUAUUGGUUUUUUACCAUGUUAAUUAAGGGAGCUCUUUUGAUUCAAUGAUCACAAUCUU